ACAGCAGCCGCCGCGGGAAUACGUAGGGGGCGAGCGUUGUCCGAAGUUACUGGGCGUAAAGCGCGCGUAGGCGGCUUCUUAAGUCUGAGGUGAAAGGUUCAACGCUUAACGUGAACAGUGCCUUGGAUACUGGGGAGCUUGAGUAUGGGAGAGGGCAGUGGAAUGGCUGGUGUAGCGGUGAAAUGCGUAGAUAUCAGUCGGAACACCCAUGGCGAAGGCAGCUGCCUGGCCUAAUACUGACGCUGAGGUGCGAAAGCGUGGGGAGCGAACGGGAUUAGAGACCCCAGUAGUCCCUGUCUCUUAUU
Molecule: ribosomal RNA, 305 nt
Filed under: uncultured bacterium
Lineage: Bacteria
Description: partial 16S ribosomal RNA
Rfam family: Bacterial small subunit ribosomal RNA
Source: RNAcentral